This 524-nucleotide ribosomal RNA is filed under the name uncultured bacterium. RNAcentral describes it as "partial 16S ribosomal RNA". It matches the Rfam family "Bacterial small subunit ribosomal RNA", at positions 28 to 523 of the family's 1533-position model. The record is from RNAcentral.
GACGAACGCUGGCGGCGUGCCUAAUACAUGCAAGUCGAACGAAGCUUUUUUAACUGGUGCUUGCACCGACUUAAACAACUGAGUGGCGAACGGGUGAGUAACACGUGGGUAACCUGCCCCAAAGCGGGGGAUAACAUUUGGAAACAGAUGCUAAUACCGCAUAACCACAGAAACCACAUGGUUUCUGUGUCAAAGAUGGUUUCGGCCAUCACUUUGGGAUGGACCCGCGGCGUAUUAGCUAGUUGGUAAGGUAAUGGCUUACCAAGGCAAUGAUACGUAGCCGGACUGAGAGGUUGAUCGGCCACAUUGGGACUGAGACACGGCCCAAACUCCUACGGGAGGCAGCAGUAGGGAAUCUUCCACAAUGGACGGAAGUCUGAUGGAGCAACGCCGCGUGAGUGAAGAAGGUUUUCGGAUCGUAAAACUCUGUUGUCAGAGAAGAACGUGUGCGAGAGUAACUGUUCGUGCAGUGACGGUAUCUGGCCAGAAAGCCACGGCUAACUACGUGCCAGCCGCCGCGGUAA